Oncorhynchus keta (chum salmon) is the source of this 768-nucleotide long non-coding RNA. RefSeq lists it as uncharacterized. NCBI's taxonomy places the organism in Eukaryota, Metazoa, Chordata, Actinopteri, Salmoniformes, Salmonidae. The record is from RefSeq and is a predicted model, not a curated record. The transcript is spliced from 5 exons.
CACACUGGGAUUCCGUCAUUAGGUAUAGUCACACUGGGAUUCCGUCAUUAGGUGUAGUCACAUUGGGAUUCCGUCAUUAGGUGUGGUCACAUUGGGAUUCCGUCAUUAGGUGUAGUCACAUUGGGAUUCCGUCAUUAGGUAUAGUCACAUUGGGAUUCCGUCAUUAGGUGUAGUCACAUUGGGAUUCCGUCAUUAGGUAUAGUCACACUGGGAUUCCGUCAUUAGGUGUAGUCACAUUGGGAUUCCGUCAUUAGGUAUAGUCACAUUGGGAUUCCGUCAUUAGGUGUAGUCACAUUGGGAUUCCGUCAUUAGGUAUAGUCACACUGGGAUUCCGUCAUUAGGUGUAGUCACAUUGGGAUUCCGUCAUUAGGUAUAGUCACAUUGGGAUUCCGUCAUUAGGUGUAGUCACAUUGGGAUUCCGUCAUUAGGUAUAGUCACAUUGGGAUUCCGUCAUUAGGUAUAGUCACAUUGGGAUUCUGUCAUUAGUUAUAGUCACAUUGGGAUUCCGUCAUUAGGUAUAGUCACAUUGGGAUUCCGUCAUUAGGUGUAGUCACAUUGGGAUUCCGUCAUUAGGUAUAGUCACAUUGGGAUUCUGUCAUUAGUUAUAGUCACAUUGGGAUUACGUCAUUAGGUAUAUUCACAUUGAGAUUCUGUCAUUAGUUAUAGUCACUAAUGUUGCAAAAUUCAGGGAACUUUCAAUAUAUUCCCUUGUUUUCCCGAAAUCCCGGUUGGAGGUUUUAGAAUCAGGAGAGAAUAAGCAGAGAAUCC